Molecule: ribosomal RNA, 253 nt
Filed under: uncultured bacterium
Lineage: Bacteria
Description: partial 16S ribosomal RNA
Rfam family: Bacterial small subunit ribosomal RNA
Source: RNAcentral
UACGGAGGGUGCGAGCGUUAUCCGGGAUUACUGGGUUUAAAGGGUGCGUAGGCGGAUUAAUAAGUCUGGGGUGAAAGUCUGUCGCUUAACGAUAGAAUUGCCAUGGAUACUGUUGAUCUUGAAUAGAGUUGAGGAUAGCGGAAUGUGACAUGUAGCGGUGAAAUGCAUAGAUAUGUCAUAGAACACCAAUUGCGAAGGCAGCUAUCUGGGCUUUUAUUGACGCUGAGGCACGAAAGCGUGGGGAGCGAACAGG